Molecule: ribosomal RNA, 914 nt
Filed under: Hyphomicrobium sp.
Lineage: Bacteria; Pseudomonadati; Pseudomonadota; Alphaproteobacteria; Hyphomicrobiales; Hyphomicrobiaceae
Description: bacterial SSU rRNA
Rfam family: Bacterial small subunit ribosomal RNA
Source: RNAcentral
UGGUAAGGUAACGGCUUACCAUGGCGACGAUAGGUAGGGGUCCUGAGAGGGAGAUCCCCCACACUGGUACUGAGACACGGACCAGACUCCUACGGGAGGCAGCAGUGAGGAAUAUUGGACAAUGGAGGCAACUCUGAUCCAGCCAUGCCGCGUGCAGGAAGACGGCCCUAUGGGUUGUAAACUGCUUUUAUACAGGAAGAAACACUCCCUCGUGAGGGAGCUUGACGGUACUGUAAGAAUAAGGACCGGCUAACUCCGUGCCAGCAGCCGCGGUAAUACGGAGGGUCCGAGCGUUAUCCGGAAUCAUUGGGUUUAAAGGGUCCGUAGGCGGAUUAUUAAGUCAGAGGUGAAAUCCCACAGCUUAACUGUGGAACUGCCUUUGAAACUGAUAGUCUUGAGUUACCUGGAAGUAGAUAGAAUGUGUAGUGUAGCGGUGAAAUGCUUAGAGAUUACACAGAAUACCGAUUGCGAAGGCAGUCUACUACGAGUAUACUGACGCUAAUGGACGAAAGCGUGGGGAGCGAACAGGAUUAGAUACCCUGGUAGUCCACGCCGUAAACGAUGGACACUCGUUGUUGGGAUUUAUCUCAGUGACUAAGCGAAAGUGAUAAGUGUCCCACCUGGGGAGUACGGUCGCAAGAUUGAAACUCAAAGGAAUUGACGGGGGCCCGCACAAGCGGUGGAGCAUGUGGUUUAAUUCGAUGAUACGCGAGGAACCUUACCAGGGCUUAAAUGUAGAUUGACAGGUUUAGAGAUAGACUUUUCUUCGGACAAUUUACAAGGUGCUGCAUGGUUGUCGUCAGCUCGUGCCGUGAGGUGUCAGGUUAAGUCCUAUAACGAGCGCAACCCCUACCGUUAGUUGCCAUCAGGUCAUGCUGGGGACUCUAACGGGACUGCCGGUGCAAACCGCGAGG